This 483-nucleotide ribosomal RNA is filed under the name uncultured bacterium. RNAcentral's name for it is "bacterial SSU rRNA". It matches the Rfam family "Bacterial small subunit ribosomal RNA", at positions 31 to 518 of the family's 1533-position model. The record is from RNAcentral.
GAACGCUGGCGGCGUGCCUAACACAUGCAAGUCGAACGAGUCAUUUGUCUGCGAUUCGUCAAGAGAACUUCUGACCGAGUGGCGGAUGGGUGAGUAACGCGUGGAGAACCUGCCCUCAGUCUGGGGGAUAACAACUGGAAACGGUUGACAAUACCGCAUAGACUCUGAUGCUCGCAUGAGCGUAAGAGAAAGAUUUAUCGGAUGAGGAUGGCUCCGCGUCGGAUUAGCCAGUUGGCGGGUAACGGCCACCAAAGCGACGAUCCGUAGCCGGCCUGAGAGGGCGACCGGCCACAUUGGGACUGAGACACGGCCCAGACUCCUACGGGAGGCAGCAGUGGGGAAUAUUGCACAAUGGGCGCAAGCCUGAUGCAGCGAACCGCCGCGUGAGUGAUGAAGUGCUUCGGCAUGUAAAGCUCUAUCAACAGGGAAGAAAAUGACGGUACCUGAAUAAGAAGCCCCGGCUAACUACGUGCCAGCAGCCGC